Long non-coding RNA from Tigriopus californicus, 716 nucleotides. RefSeq lists it as uncharacterized. The record is from RefSeq and is a predicted model, not a curated record. NCBI's taxonomy places the organism in Eukaryota, Metazoa, Arthropoda, Copepoda, Harpacticoida, Harpacticidae. The transcript is spliced from 3 exons.
AGGCUGGCUUGUGAACGCAAGAGAGCCAGGGAACAAACGACCUAGGGGAUCGACAGAUAUUCUGAGCCUGAGAGAGCUUCGGGAUUGAGAAGGGUGGUUAAUUCAUGGAAUAGUGGUGGGAAAUUGAGGUGAAAAUUUGAGGCCAACUGGGAUAGAAAAAUCGAGAUUUUCGAUCACCGAGGAAAAUCUUCCAUUUAUUCGACUCCAAAGGGCGAGGGGUCCUCUUGGAGACUCGUUUCAUUCGGACCAGGUGAUUGGUGGAACAUUCCAUUGGAUCCGCUGACAAGUCAUCGAAUUUUGGCCUUCAAGGCCGGGCCAAAAGGCCACACCAUAAAAUAACGCCCGCCUCAAAUAAGGCCUUUAAUCUCCUGCCCCACGGAAAAAGACCUGAACAAUGGGGUCGCUUAGUGCGGAGAAUUACGCACCGCGUUUCGUGCACAAGCCUCAACUCCGACAGGAGGACGAUGGCAACCGGUUAAUCUUUGAAUGUGAGCUUGCUGGCUCCCCUCAACCCAAUGUGUACUGGUUCAGGGGAGACUCUCAAAUUUCGGAGGAUGAUCGGACCUACGUCCGGGUCCAAGAGACCCCCAAUCGAACAUUCCUGGUGGUGCUUGAGCUCAACGACGUGGUCGAGAGCGAUGCUGGCUUGUACAAGGUCAAGGCUAAGAAUAAGUUUGGAGAGGUUGCUGCCUCCAUUAACCUUAAUUUUAGCCGUG